CCGGCGCACGGGUGAGUAACACGUAUGCAACCUGGCCGUCACAGGUGGAUAACCGGAAGAAAUUCCGACUAAUACAGCAUAACACUCCUGAGGGACAUCCCUUGGGAGUCAAAGGAGGCAACUCCGGUGACGGAUGGGCAUGCGGCGCAUUAGGUAGUUGGUAGGGUAACGGCCUACCAAGCCGACGAUGCGUAGGGGUUCUGAGAGGAAGGUCCCCCACAUUGGUACUGAGACACGGACCAGACUCCUACGGGAGGCAGCAG
This 263-nucleotide ribosomal RNA is filed under the name uncultured bacterium. RNAcentral describes it as "partial 16S ribosomal RNA". It matches the Rfam family "Bacterial small subunit ribosomal RNA", at positions 95 to 354 of the family's 1533-position model. The record is from RNAcentral.